AUCUAUGGCCAUGCUACAAGCCCGAUCCUAUCUGAUCUUAGAAGCUAACCAGGGUUGGGCCUGGUUAGUACUUGGAUGGGAGACCACCUAGGAAAACCAGGUGCUAUAGGUG
This 112-nucleotide ribosomal RNA is filed under the name Pteropus alecto (black flying fox). Lineage: Eukaryota; Metazoa; Chordata; Mammalia; Chiroptera; Pteropodidae. The record is from RNAcentral.